AUAUUUGACAAUGGGCGCAAGCCUGAUCCAGCCAUGCCGCGUGAGUGAUGAAGGCCUUCGGGUUGUAAACUGCUUUUGUACGGAACGAAAAGCUUUGGGUUAAUACGCUGGUGUCAUGACGGUACCGUAAGAAUAAGCAACUGCCAACUACGUGCCAGCAGCCGCGGUAAUACGUAGGGUGAAAGCGUUAAUCGGAAUUACUGGGCGUAAAGCGUGCGCAGGAGGUGUUGUAAGACAGAGGUGAAAUCCCCGGGCUCAACCUGGGAACUGCCUUUGUGAAUGCAAGGCUAGAGUACGGCAGAGGGGGGUGGAAUUCCGCGUGUAGCAGUGAAAUACGUAGAUAUGCGGAGGAACACCGAUGGCGAAGGCAACCCCCUGGGCCUGUACUGACGCUCAUGCACGAAAGCGUGGGGAGCAAACA
This 421-nucleotide ribosomal RNA is filed under the name uncultured bacterium. RNAcentral's name for it is "partial 16S ribosomal RNA". It matches the Rfam family "Bacterial small subunit ribosomal RNA", at positions 361 to 774 of the family's 1533-position model. The record is from RNAcentral.